This 500-nucleotide ribosomal RNA is filed under the name uncultured bacterium. RNAcentral describes it as "bacterial SSU rRNA". It matches the Rfam family "Bacterial small subunit ribosomal RNA", at positions 28 to 526 of the family's 1533-position model. The record is from RNAcentral.
GAUGAACGCUAGCGGCAGGCCUUAUACAUGCAAGUCGAGGGGCAGCAUUUACUUCGGUAAAUGGCGACCGGCGAACGGGUGCGUAACGCGUAUGCAACCUACCUUUAACUGGGGCAUAGCUCGAAGAAAUUCGAAUUAAUUCCCCAUAGUACAAUAAUAUCGCAUGAUAUAAUUGUUAAAGAUUUAUCGGUUAAAGAUGGGCAUGCGUCUGAUUAGUUUGUUGGUGAGGUAACGGCUCACCAAGGCCACGAUCAGUAGGGGUUCUGAGAGGAUGAUCCCCCACAUUGGUACUGAGACACGGACCAGACUUCUACGGAAGGCAGCAGUAAGGAAUAUUGGGCAAUGGGCGAAAGCCUGACCCAGCCAUGCCGCGUGCAGGAUUGAAGACCUUAUGGGUUGUAAACUGCUUUUAUAUAGGAAGAAAAAACUCUUGCGAGAGUAACUGACGGUACUAUAUGAAUAAGGACCGGCUAACUCCGUGCCAGCCGCCGCCGUAACAC